GAUGAAGAACGUAGCGAAAUGCGAUAAGUAAUGUGAAUUGCAGAAUUCAGUGAAUCAUCGAAUAUUUGAACGCACAUUGCGCCCGCUGGUAUUCCGGCGGGCAUGCCUGUUCGAGCGUCAUUUCAACCCUCAAGCUCUCCGGAGUUUGGUGUUGGGGCGCCUGGGGCUUUUCGACCUCAGGGCCCUCAAGUCCAUCGGCGGGACCGCCAGGACACUGAGCGCAGUAGUAUUAUUUCGCUCGGUAGGAUCUUCCACGGCGGGUCGAUCUGGCCGCUAAACCCCCCAAUUCUCACCAAAGGUUGACCUCGGAUCAGGUAGGAAUACCCGCUGAACUUAAGCAUAUCAAUAAGCGGAGGA
This 357-nucleotide unclassified non-coding RNA is filed under the name soil metagenome. RNAcentral describes it as "partial contains 5.8S ribosomal RNA, internal transcribed spacer 2, and large subunit ribosomal RNA". The stretch from base 1 to 120 matches the Rfam family "5.8S ribosomal RNA", at positions 35 to 154 of the family's 154-position model. The record is from RNAcentral.